Long non-coding RNA from Zootermopsis nevadensis, 1447 nucleotides. RefSeq lists it as uncharacterized. The record is from RefSeq and is a predicted model, not a curated record. NCBI's taxonomy places the organism in Eukaryota, Metazoa, Arthropoda, Insecta, Blattodea, Termopsidae.
AUUUUUGAGGAAAAAGUGUUGGUUCUUUGGCAAUGAUUUGCUGUUGUUUAGGGAUUUUGUGAUCAAAUUUUUUGAACGUUUUGUUAUUGCCGUUGCAACGGAAGGUGACCAUCGCUUUUAGUGGUUUUGGGCUGCAUAGGUUAAUUUCAUAAACGUUACCAUAGCAACGCUCUUCUGGGAUACCUGCUAUGUACAUGAAUUACCACGUGGCACAGUUAUAACCUCGAUGUGAGACUGCGGUGCAUAUCGUAAUGUAUUAUUUAAUUACGCAAAGUUGGCACUACCAAGCUGACAAAUGUGCAGAGUCCUGAGGUGGGACGAUGAUGACGGCGUUACCAUGAUCAUAUCCGUCUGCGGUUGGUCGACCAUUAUUUUAUAGAACUAAUAUGUAUACACAAAAGACGAAUGCAGAAGUAUCCAUGGAAAUGGAAAAAUUGGCUGUUUCGUGUCACUUUGACAUUACCAUAGCAACGUCACUGUCAAUGAAUUGCAAAGGGACGUCAGUACUCUUCAAGGCCAAGAAUGUUACUGAGAUAUAUUGUUAAAAUGGAACCUACGUCUGUAUUUCCCAUAAGAUUUUGUUUUUAACUUGGUAAAGAAUUUUGCAGAAGCAAAUAAAUUCUGUAACUAGAAGACCAGUAAGUUAUCAACACUAUGCACAUGCCAACUCGCACACAAAAAUUUACUUGAGAUUGCUAGGUUACAGGCUGAAAUUGCGAUGGCAGUAUUCGUAACAGAUGAACAAUAAAUAACCAGAGAAGGGCAUGGAAGAACGAUGCAGUAACAAAGAAAUUACAUCAAAAUGGCAUUUCAGUAAACUUAUCCUGUUUGGCCAAAGAACGGUGCAUUCACAUAACUGAUAAUUUCAAAUUGCUUGAUUCACCACUGAUGUAUCGUCGGAAGCGCCGAUUUGAAGUAGAGUACACUUACGCUGUUGUAAGUGGCAAAACAGUCCUUGAUUUUACUCUGUAAGUAUUUCUGGGUGCCUGUCUAAAUUUCCCUUAACUGACAACCUUUAUUUUCAUGAAUCAGAAUAAACCAUUGUUUUUUGCAUUUCAAAGGCCACCUAUUAGUUUCACUCUUCGCUCGUCUAAAUACUACUGAAGAUUUCAGUCCGUACCGCGAAGAAAACACAACGCCUUACCAUUACAAGGAUAAAACAGUUAACGCUGUUUAAGUCAAUAAUCACUGUUUAUAGUGAGAAUCGUAAGAAACACAUGAAUACAAAAUGCAGAGCGACAGACUGUUAAAGCAUGUGGUACAUAUAAUUACCACUUCGCUUUAAAGGGUUAAUCUUGUCCGUCCACAAGUAACAUUGUCCUACCUCACAGAUAUUGACCAAAAGCGAUCUGGAAUACCUGCACAAAAUCUUCCAUUUUGAGAGUUUAAGCGCUUAUGUGUCUUUUAAUUUAAGCCUUUUGGCAAAUAAAUGAUCAUACUCGAUGCA